GAACUCAAAGAAUGCGCCUGAGGCAAUCUGGGGCGUGGUUUCGUGUGACGCUAUCAGGGGGCGGGGCUUUGGUUUAGUCAAACUCCUUCAUCUUCGUGGUCAGAAAGCAGUGGGAAGGUUGUAAGAAUGUUCGUGUUGCGAGGGAGAAAGUCUAAAGAGUGGCUUUCACUUUGCUCUUCUUCUUGGGUCACAUUCUCUGAGAGAAGUUAACUGCCAUGUGUUGAGGACACUCAAGCAACCUAUAGGGGAGGACCACUAAUGAGGAGUUGAAGCUUCUUGCAAACAGCCAGUAAGAAACUGAGGCCUCUGUCAUGUAAAGGAACUAUCUUGGAAGUGGAUCCCCCAGCCCCAGUCAGGCCUUCAGAUGAAUGUAGCCCUGCUGACGUUUUGACCACAACUUCAUGGGACACCCUGAAACAGAACCCUGCAGCUAUACCACUUCUGAAUUUCUCAUCUAUAGAAACUAUAAGAUCCCAUCCUUCCCAGAAUGCCACCAUGAUCUGUUGGACUUAUUAUGGCUAAAGACACAUUUGACAUCGACUUAUGUAUACUUGCCUUAAUCCUGGUCCUGCCAGCCUGUGUUCUAGCCAGUCAUUCCCUUGCAUUUGAAGUGGAACCUCCCUUUUGGUGCUGUUAUAUCCCCAUUUUACAGAUGAAGACACUGAGGCACAGGGAUAUUAAAGGAACUUGCCCACGGUCACACACUUGGUAGGUUGUGGAACCAGUACAGGCAGGUGAUAAGAGAGAGGAAGAAAAGAAGACAGGUUGAUAGGCAGGACCAGGGCCUGUCCUCAGGGAAGCUUGCUCCAGAGAGGCGGCCACAUUCCAAAGCUGAGACCCGAAGGUGGAAAUAGAGGCACUAAACAAAAGUUUAUAGGAAGAAAGAACAAAUGCCAGGCCUCCAAAAUGGGAACAAACUUGGAUGGAAUGGCUGCCAGUCUAGCUGCUACCUGGGACUAGGAGAAUGAGGAUGGCGAGUUAGUGAGCUAGAAGGAGCCUGCAUUACUAAGGUCUUAAUGGAACAAAAAGUCCACACACGUGGUCUUGAACUACUGACCUCAAGAGUUCAAUUAUGAAUGAAGCCAAAUUAUCUUCCAUGUUGUUUUGUUUUGUUGUCACAUACCACAAA
Manis pentadactyla (Chinese pangolin) is the source of this 1129-nucleotide long non-coding RNA. RefSeq lists it as uncharacterized. The record is from RefSeq and is a predicted model, not a curated record. The transcript is spliced from 4 exons. NCBI's taxonomy places the organism in Eukaryota, Metazoa, Chordata, Mammalia, Pholidota, Manidae.